UACGUAGGUGGCGAGCGUUAUCCGGAAUGAUUGGGCGUAAAGGGUGCGUAGGCGGACUGUCAAGUCAGCGGUAAAAUUGAGAGGCUCAACCUCUUCCCGCCGUUGAAACUGGUGGUCUUGAGUGGAUGAGAAGUACGCGGAAUGCGUGGUGUAGCGGUGAAAUGCAUAGAUAUCACGCAGAACUCCGAUUGCGAAGGCAGCGUACCGGCAUCCAACUGACGCUGAGGCACGAAAGCGUGGGGAUCAAACAGG
RNAcentral lists this ribosomal RNA (252 nucleotides) under uncultured bacterium. Its description in RNAcentral is "partial 16S ribosomal RNA". It matches the Rfam family "Bacterial small subunit ribosomal RNA", at positions 524 to 776 of the family's 1533-position model. The record is from RNAcentral.